RNAcentral lists this long non-coding RNA (688 nucleotides) under Junco hyemalis (dark-eyed junco). Its description in RNAcentral is "lncRNA (ENSJHYG00000002424.1)". Lineage: Eukaryota; Metazoa; Chordata; Aves; Passeriformes; Passerellidae. The record is from RNAcentral.
ACAAGGAUGGACUCUGGUCCCCAAGUGUCACCUCCCUGCUGGUGUGGGGACAAGGACAGUGCCCCAGGACUGUGUCCCCUCCCUGCUGGUGUGGGGUCAAGGAUGGACUCUGGUCCCCAAGUGCCACCUCCCUGCCAUCACAGGGAGGACAGGAUUGGGGACAAGCUCCUGUCCCCAGGUGCCACCUCUCUGCUGUCACAGCCUUGGGGACACCACCAAGUCCAGGACAAGCUCCUGUCCCCAGGUGCCACCAACCAGGGCCUGGGGACACUUGUGGUGACACUGGGGACCCCCAGGACCCUCCAAACUCCCCAGGACCAGGAGCCCCCUUGUCCCCCCCAACCUGGGUGGCACUGGGGACAGCCAUGUCCCCUCUCCCAUGGGUUGGUGGCACUGGGGACAGCCGUGUCCCCUUUCCCAUGGGUUGGUGGCACUUGGGGACAGCCGUGUCCCCUCCCCCCCGGGUGGGGGAGGGGCUGUACAGCCGUGUAUAGACCCUGUAAAUAAAGGACCCGCGGGACUGGGACCGGUGUGACACCUUGGGGACAAUGGGGACACGGGAGGGACACCAAGUCACGCGAGUGACAGGGGUAAUGUGGGUGACAUGGGGGUGACACUGUGACACGAGGGUGACACGGGGAUGGCAUGGGUGACAUGGUGACAUGGGGGUGACACUGAGACAUGGGUG